RNAcentral lists this ribosomal RNA (171 nucleotides) under Laccaria bicolor. RNAcentral describes it as "5.8S ribosomal RNA". It matches the Rfam family "5.8S ribosomal RNA". Rfam says of the family: 5.8S ribosomal RNA (5.8S rRNA) is a component of the large subunit of the eukaryotic ribosome. It is transcribed by RNA polymerase I as part of the 45S precursor that also contains 18S and 28S rRNA. Lineage: Eukaryota; Fungi; Basidiomycota; Agaricomycetes; Agaricales; Hydnangiaceae. RNAcentral also lists the same sequence under 60 other names. The record is from RNAcentral.
AUACAACUUUCAGCAACGGAUCUCUUGGCUCUCGCAUCGAUGAAGAACGCAGCGAAAUGCGAUAAGUAAUGUGAAUUGCAGAAUUCAGUGAAUCAUCGAAUCUUUGAACGCACCUUGCGCUCCUUGGUAUUCCGAGGAGCAUGCCUGUUUGAGUGUCAUUAAAUUCUCAAC